UCGAUUCCGGAGAGGGAGCCUGAGAAAC
This 28-nucleotide non-coding RNA is filed under the name Bombyx mori (domestic silkworm). RNAcentral also lists the same sequence under 7 other names. The record is from RNAcentral. Lineage: Eukaryota; Metazoa; Arthropoda; Insecta; Lepidoptera; Bombycidae.